Beta vulgaris subsp. vulgaris (sugar beet) is the source of this 1117-nucleotide long non-coding RNA. RefSeq lists it as uncharacterized. The transcript is spliced from 5 exons. Lineage: Eukaryota; Viridiplantae; Streptophyta; Magnoliopsida; Caryophyllales; Amaranthaceae. The record is from RefSeq and is a predicted model, not a curated record.
CUCUCUCCUCUCUUCUCUCUCUCUCUCUUCUUCUUCAUUCCCACUUUUCAAAUUCCAUCCCUUUUUUUCCCGUCGAAUUCCUCCGUUUUAGGGUUCCGUCUACUUACACAAAUCAAACCCAAUCUAGGGUUUUUGCGACAAUGGCGAGAGUGAAGAAAGAGGCAGGUAGCAGAAGCAAUAAUACUAACACACGAGUUAGAGAAUUGAGGAGUAGCAAAAUUGAAGCUAAUUCAACUUCUAAUCAGCAGCAACAUGUUGAUGAAGUUGAACAAGAAAAUGAAGUUGUAGUAAGGAGAAAUCUGCGUUCUAGAUAUCUCGCCGUCAAAAACUUACUUUUUGGCGAUACGCAUGAUUUGUCGUAGCCGGAUUCGCAGAGGUUUAAGUCUAUUAUUGAUGAAGUGGAGAGUUUACAUGCGAAAGGCUUUUGACGAGGCUAUCUCUGAGCUGGAUACAAUGGGUGAGAACUCAUACAAGGACAACCCAUUAAUUAUGCAGCUGCAGCGUGAGCCUGACCUUGUGGAUUUCAGAUAAUGCGAUUUCAGCCUAAAGUGAUUUCACAAACCCGAUUUUCACUUCAAUUCACCGCCUGAGAUUUUCAUAUUUGACUGUGCAACUAUUCAUGGGCUCCAGUUAUUUGCACAUUGAUCAUCAAUUGAAGUUUUCCAUUUUCAGAAAGUUAGCUUAAAGCGGAUGUUCAUUUCUGUAACUCUUGAGAUGUAGCCUUAUGUUUCCCUCAUUUUGUGCUUUUGGCUGAGGAAUACAAUGUAGACCUCUUUCUCGAGGUUAUAUGACUAGCUGUUGUUCAAUCUUUAUUUCUUCAUUACUAUAUUCCUUCCUAUUAACAUUGUUGUACAUCUGUAUUAUUCUAUCCAGCCAAUCUUAUGAAACUUGAUUAAACUUUGUGCUGCAGAUCACCGUGAGAGACAAAAGCAAAGAACAAAACCAAUUAGUCAUAAUAACUUGCCAUGCAUAAAAGUAAAGUCAGAACUCAAAAAUCUUUUUAUUACUUGUAGUUAUGUUAUAGUAGUAGGUAUUAAUCCAAAUCAUCAUCAUAAUGUACUUCUGCUCAAUCACGGUUUAGUUCUUCUAGGCUUGUAGUAUGGUUUGAUUUUUCUAA